Molecule: unclassified non-coding RNA, 2304 nt
Filed under: Eurytemora carolleeae
Lineage: Eukaryota; Metazoa; Arthropoda; Copepoda; Calanoida; Temoridae
Description: suppressor of fused homolog
Source: RNAcentral
UAUUCGUAAUUGAUUUAGAUUUUUACAGAUCAGAAAGAAUGGAUACCCCGCCUCUUCAGCAGAAUACAGGCCACACCCUAGCUCCCGGGAAUCGACCACCUCCCACCCUAGCUCCGGGAUUCCAGGCUAUUGUAGGGGCGUGUCAAAGAUUGUAUCCGGAGCAAAAAAACCCACUUCAAAUCUCAACUGUUGUAAAAUAUUGGUUAGGCGGGCCUGACCCAUUGGAUUACAUCACAGUAUACAGUAAUCAAGGAAAUUGUACGCACUGGCACUAUGUUAGUUCUGGUCUCUCAGAUCUUCAUGGCGAUGGAAGGGUGCAUCCUCCUGCAGCCGGCCCUAAUUCUCCAAGUGGAUAUGGAUUCGAACUUACGUUUAGACUCAGACGACGAGAUGAAUUGGUACCACCGGACUGGCCUUUCAAAGUUCUUCAGAAAAUUGCCAAAUAUGUGUUUGAAACGGAAAAUAAGUUAGUGUCUGGUGAUCAUAUAACCUGGAGUGAACCUCUCGGUACAAGUCAAUCCAUACUAAAGCAUCUUAUAGUGGCAGAGGAUCCCCAGCUUGAAGUAAUAAAUACAGCGCUGGGUCAACUUAGAUUUCUUCAGAUUUUUUGUGUCACAGAAGAUGAACUCAAAGCUGUACAAAGAUGGAACGGACCCGGUGUUAUUAGCUUACUUAGAAAUUCUCCGGUAGGGGGUAGUCUUUUAGUCACAGAUAUCCAGAGAUCGUUAUCACUGUUUGCGUAUUCUCCUGAGACUAAAUCGAUGGUGGAUGCAGGCAUAGCAGCUGAAGGAUCCAACUUGUGUGGUAUGGCUGCGUGUAUUUCCUGGACUGAAACUGAUGUUACAGCCUCUAGAGAACGCGAGUUGACCGGAGAUUCUGCAUUGUCAGAUUGGGCUUCUCUAGCUCAACAGUGUGACCGAUUAAUAUACAGUGGUCUUAAUUCCAGACGUGUAUCUUAUCCAAGAGGAGUAGCCUUAGCUUGUAGUCUAGAAACUGCCCGGUAUCUUCCACUUUGCAUUCAGGGUCGCCUUAAACAUGGAUUUCACUUUACUCUUAAAUCCAUCUUAAAAGAGACUGCCGUUACAUUUGUGACGGGUCGGGUUGCAGGAACCCUGGUAGGUCCCGGCAAACAUUUUGCAGCUCAGGGGGAUUGGUUGCAGGUUCUUAUACCAGAACAAUUCCUGGAUCAGUUUCAGGAAAGAAUUACUGUCGUGGACUCGGAAUUACAGUUGCCUCACACAUUCCAGUUUCCGGAAAUAAAACUUUCUAUUUCCGUUUUAUCCGACACAGCCCAGGUCGGAGUUGUAUGAUAAGUCAGACAAGAAGAAAAUUAUUCGAUGCGUAUCUUCGGAUUUACGAAGUACGCACAUCCGCUAUACUACACUUCCAACCUACUAGCUCGUGGUUUUUCAGCUGUAAGUUGAACAUGUUGCCGCAGCGCUCGGCCCAGAGAUUGUCUUUAUCCUAACCUAACCUUUCAAAUAAUACAAAAUGUAACCGUUUUCCUAGUUCCGAUAUUGCAGUAGGUCAGAAGUUCAGCAGAGGGGAUGUUGCGCAAAGACAUUACCUAGCUAACAUUCACUGCAGAACUGAACAAGACGAAGGAAACAAUGAAACGACAAUUUUUUCUCUUUAUUACAUCCAAUGGUUCAACAUAAUUUUUAACCCUUGGAUUCGGAUCCAAGAGGCAGACUUUAAUAUCUCAAUAUAUAAAAAAUUUUACACAGUUUUGGAUUUUAAGAAUCUCUCAAAAUUAGUAAAUUGUUUUGAAAACGCAAUUUUGGUGAAAACGGAUGAUGAGAAUAUUUUUACAUUUAUAUAGUUUUAUACUUCACAAUUUUAUAUUUUAACAACCAUAUACAGAACUGUAACUACUCAUUCAACGAUUUGCAAUCUCUUGUUGGCGGAUUUGUUUCUCGACUAUAAAGACGAUAUUUGACUCUCAGCCAAUAUGUAAUAUAAUAAUUCAUUCCAAACUGUCGAAUCUCAAAGUGUUUCUCAAUGUUAAUGUAAUCCAAGAUUUAUAAUAUUUGUGACUAAAUGUAAUUAUGAUGUGUAAAAAAGUGCCUAAUUAAAGUAAACUUUAAAUAAAUUGCAGCAAUUAUUUAUGGUUGAUUCACGAGAUAAUACUAGUGUAAAAUCGUAAACAAUUUCAGUAUUCAUUUUUACUACAGCAAUGGAAUAUUUUAAAGAUGGUCGUUUGUAGGAUUUCAAUAAGUCUUUUUUUUCUUGUUAUAAAUAAAUCUAAAUGUUAAUGUAAUCCAAGAUUUAUAAUAUUUGUGACUAAAUGUAACUAUGAUGUGU